GACAAAAUUAGAGGGAAUAAUUGUUAGUUGUGACUCAAAAUUGAUAAUCGACUCAAGUUCGAAUUUUCAACUCGCCGACAGUUUCGCGAUACGAUCAAAUUAGAAAAUAAAUUUGUGAAGAAAAAAUGAAUGUCUGUGGUAGGUAGCGGAAGGCUCGGGCCGACAGGUCCGAGCCCGUAGCCCACCACUGACAUUCGCCAAGGGGUGCGGGGGGCUCCGCCCCCCACGGUACGGAUUGGAUCCAAAACCCAUUAAGAGUUUUCCUUUUCAUUUUUGCCCUAGAGGCGUGUGAUCAUGGUUGGUUGUACUAUUUGAACAUUGUAUUCCUUUUUUAAUUUGAUCGUGAAGUUCUCUCCUCCCUCGCCCGUGAUUUUUUUCUGCAAAAAUUUUUUCACGUAAAUCUGUGUGUUUUCUUUUAUUUCAGCUUGUGGUUUGUUUAUUUCGUAUUUGUCAUUUCGUUUUCGUUAUGCGUUUGUCGUAACAAUAAUAAUAACAAAUAGAUUUUAAUAUAAACAGAUCGAAUUCAUUAAUACCCUAUAUAUGCAUGUGAAAACAAUUUAUCC
This 563-nucleotide long non-coding RNA is filed under the name Ananas comosus (pineapple). RNAcentral describes it as "long non-coding RNA (ACOM_LNC020700)". The record is from RNAcentral. Lineage: Eukaryota; Viridiplantae; Streptophyta; Magnoliopsida; Poales; Bromeliaceae.